GUUAAAUGAUGAAGCAAUUUUGCCAGUUCUGCUUCUGAUUGAACAGAGAAGACAACUUACUUACCACUUCUGAUUU
Small nucleolar RNA from Cylas formicarius (sweet potato weevil), 76 nucleotides. Lineage: Eukaryota; Metazoa; Arthropoda; Insecta; Coleoptera; Brentidae. The record is from RefSeq and is a predicted model, not a curated record.